Molecule: transfer RNA, 59 nt
Filed under: Penenirmus auritus
Lineage: Eukaryota; Metazoa; Arthropoda; Insecta; Psocodea; Philopteridae
Description: tRNA-Pro
Source: RNAcentral
GGUGGUAGUUUAAAUAAAACUGUGGCUUUGGAGGCCACAAAUCCUCACUGGCUACCUGA